RNAcentral lists this ribosomal RNA (138 nucleotides) under uncultured eukaryote. RNAcentral describes it as "partial 18S ribosomal RNA". It matches the Rfam family "Eukaryotic small subunit ribosomal RNA", at positions 1299 to 1458 of the family's 1831-position model. The record is from RNAcentral.
UGGUGGGUUGCCUUGUCAGGUUGAUUCCGGUAACGAACGAGACCUCAGCCUGCUAAAUAGUCGCGCUUGCCUCUGGCAGGUGGUUGACUUCUUAGAGGGACUAUUGACGCAAGUCAAUGGAAGUAUGAGGCAAUAACA